RNAcentral lists this ribosomal RNA (207 nucleotides) under uncultured bacterium. Its description in RNAcentral is "partial 16S ribosomal RNA". It matches the Rfam family "Bacterial small subunit ribosomal RNA", at positions 568 to 774 of the family's 1533-position model. The record is from RNAcentral.
CACGUAGGCGGUUUUUCAAGUCAGAUGUGAAAUCCCCGGGCUUAACCUGGGAACUGCAUUUGAUACUGGAUGACUAGAGGCCGGGAGAGGGUAGUGGAAUUCCCAGUGUAGAGGUGAAAUUCGUAGAUAUUGGGAAGAACACCGGUGGCGAAGGCGGCUACCUGGACCGGUACUGACGCUGAGGUGCGAAAGCGUGGGGAGCAAACA